RNAcentral lists this transfer RNA (94 nucleotides) under Desulfovibrio sp. OttesenSCG-928-F07. Its description in RNAcentral is "tRNA-Ser". It matches the Rfam family "tRNA". From Rfam's summary of the family: Transfer RNA (tRNA) molecules are approximately 80 nucleotides in length. Their secondary structure includes four short double-helical elements and three loops (D, anti-codon, and T loops). Further hydrogen bonds mediate the characteristic L-shaped molecular structure. tRNAs have two regions of fundamental functional importance: the anti-codon, which is responsible for specific mRNA codon recognition, and the 3' end, to which the tRNAs corresponding amino acid is attached (by aminoacyl-tRNA synthetases). tRNAs cope with the degeneracy of the genetic code in two manners: having more than one tRNA (with a specific anti-codon) for a particular amino acid; and 'wobble' base-pairing, i.e. permitting non-standard base-pairing at the 3rd anti-codon position. Lineage: Bacteria; Pseudomonadati; Thermodesulfobacteriota; Desulfovibrionia; Desulfovibrionales; Desulfovibrionaceae. The record is from RNAcentral.
GGAGAGGUGACCGAGCGGCCGAAGGUACUCCCCUGCUAAGGGAGCAUACGGGCACAAACCUGUAUCCAGAGUUCAAAUCUCUGCCUCUCCGCCA